AGCGAACGCUGGCGGCAGGCCUAACACAUGCAAGUCGAACGAACUCUUCGGAGUUAGUGGCGGACGGGUGAGUAACACGUGGGAACGUGCCUUUUGGUUCGGAAUAACUCAGGGAAACUUGUGCUAAUACCGAAUGUGCCCUUCGGGGGAAAGAUUUAUCGCCAUUAGAGCGGCCCGCGUCUGAUUAGCUAGUUGGUGAGGUAACGGCUCACCAAGGCGACGAUCAGUAGCUGUUCUGAGAGGAGGACCAGCCACACUGGGACUGAGACACGGCCCAGACUCCUACGGGAGGCAGCAGUGGGGAAUCUUGCGCAAUGGGCGAAAGCCUGACGAAGCCAUGCCGCGUGAAUGAUGAAGGUCUUAGGAUUGUAAAAUUCUUUCACCGGGGACGAUAAUGACGGUACCCGGAGAAGAAGCCCCGGCUAACUUCGUG
RNAcentral lists this ribosomal RNA (433 nucleotides) under uncultured bacterium. RNAcentral's name for it is "partial 16S ribosomal RNA". It matches the Rfam family "Bacterial small subunit ribosomal RNA", at positions 29 to 507 of the family's 1533-position model. The record is from RNAcentral.